AGGACAGAAAGACCAGAAUUGGGAAGAAGAAAAAAAUAUCUGGGCCAUAUUCCCUUUGUAUCAGCAGCUUCCUGAUGAGAAUAACAUUCUUGAAAAAGCAGAAGCCAUCAUUGGUCCAUACUUGGAAUGCUGUGAAGUGAGCUGGUCAGUAAUGUAAUGUUCCUGGUAUGCAAGUUUGCUCCACAAAAUAAAGUGGUCCAGGAAAUAUAUGAAAAUGAGGAUGUUCAUGAUUCAAUAUCGUAAACUAAACCCUUCAGGAAGACGUUGCAAACACGUCUGGAGACUUUGAGAAGAUAUCUGGCAAGCCAACCUAUGGCCUGGUUUAAAGGGAGCACAUUCAAACUACAGCAGUUUAAUGAUACACCUGCUAUACCUUUUUGUUGUGAAAUGUUCCUGUGGAUUAUACAUGCAUUUAAUUCUCUGGA
Molecule: long non-coding RNA, 425 nt
Organism: Onychostoma macrolepis
Lineage: Eukaryota; Metazoa; Chordata; Actinopteri; Cypriniformes; Cyprinidae
Exons: 4
Source: RefSeq, a predicted model, not a curated record